RNAcentral lists this unclassified non-coding RNA (156 nucleotides) under uncultured Diaporthales. RNAcentral's name for it is "sequence contains ITS1". The record is from RNAcentral. Lineage: Eukaryota; Fungi; Ascomycota; Sordariomycetes; Diaporthales.
CAAAGAGAGUUGCAAAACUCCCUAAACCCCUGUGAACCUACCUCUUUUCCUUCGGCAGGCGGCCCCAGGGCGGGGCUGUGGUCUGCUACGCGCAGGCGCCUGCCGGAGACCCUUAAACUCUGUUAUACUGUUUGUCUGAGUACUACAAAAUAAUUA